GAAAGAUAAACACCAGUCCAAAGGGGAUUAUUCAGGGUCUAGUCAAUACCCCCAAGCAAAGCACGUAUCUCAUUAAGGAAGUUGUGAUAUUUGAAGUUAGGGAAUCAAGUCAAGGAAGAGCACCUGGAAACUUUCUUCAAGAGUGAGAAACAUGUCUGUCUGACUCUGAACUCUCUCCAGUAUUUCACAGGAGGAAAAAAAAAUCACUUGGAGGUUGAAGUCUCUUUCUAGAAGAUAUGCCAGCUGGUCAGAAAUUAGUAAGAAGAAAUGAAGAACACUAAUUUUGGUGGGGAGAAGAUGCAGUCUUGCUACACUGAAAUGCUUUUCUUCAAAGAAAAAAAAAAUCCCAUAGGCUGAAAUUGGACAAGAAAGAGAUUCCUCCCAUUCCAGUAACAGCAGGAAGGCCCUGAUAAAGUGUGGUUUUCUGUAUAACUCUAAGUAAAUUAAACACCAUGAUA
Molecule: long non-coding RNA, 458 nt
Organism: Ornithorhynchus anatinus (platypus)
Lineage: Eukaryota; Metazoa; Chordata; Mammalia; Monotremata; Ornithorhynchidae
Exons: 3
Source: RefSeq, a predicted model, not a curated record